This 239-nucleotide unclassified non-coding RNA is filed under the name Glomus sp. Its description in RNAcentral is "partial contains 5.8S ribosomal RNA and internal transcribed spacer 2". The stretch from base 1 to 65 matches the Rfam family "5.8S ribosomal RNA", at positions 84 to 154 of the family's 154-position model. Lineage: Eukaryota; Fungi; Glomeromycota; Glomeromycetes; Glomerales; Glomeraceae. The record is from RNAcentral.
GUGAAUCAUCAAAUCUUUGAACGCAAAUUGCACUCUCUUCGGAGAGUAUGCCUGUUUGAGGGUCAGCCUAAAAAAAUCGACAUUGUUUCUGUUUCGCGGUGACAUUCGUCGGAAAUUGGGUCAUCUUUAACCUUUGGGUUUUAAGGGGCUUAAAAUUUUCUUUAAGAUUCCAAGAACGUUUCUAAGGGUUAAUUUUUACCCGUUUAAGGUAAUCGAUCUUUACUAGACGUUGCCGGUUC